This 440-nucleotide ribosomal RNA is filed under the name uncultured bacterium. RNAcentral's name for it is "partial 16S ribosomal RNA". It matches the Rfam family "Bacterial small subunit ribosomal RNA", at positions 339 to 795 of the family's 1533-position model. The record is from RNAcentral.
CUACGGGUGGCAGCAGUGAGGAAUAUUGCACAAUGGGGGGAACCCUGAUGCAGCAACGCCGCGUGGAGGAUGACGCAUUUCGGUGUGUAAACUCCUUUUAUAUGUCAAGAAAAUGACGGUAGCAUAUGAAUAAGCACCGGCUAACGUCCGUGCCAGCAGCCGCGGUAAUACGGAGGGUGCAAGCGUUACUCGGAAUCACUGGGCGUAAAGGACGCGUAGGCGAGUUGGAAAGUCAGGUGUGAAAUCCUACAGCUUAACUGUAGAACUGCACUUGAAACUUCUAAUCUAGAGUAUGGGAGGGGGAGAUGGAAUUAGUGGUGUAGGGGUAAAAUCCGUAGAUAUCACUAGGAAUACCUAAAGCGAAGGCGAUCUCCUGGAACAUUACUGACGCUAAGGCGUGAAAGCGUGGGGAGCAAACAGGAUUAGAUACCCCCGUAGUC